This 440-nucleotide ribosomal RNA is filed under the name uncultured bacterium. RNAcentral describes it as "bacterial SSU rRNA". It matches the Rfam family "Bacterial small subunit ribosomal RNA", at positions 338 to 795 of the family's 1533-position model. The record is from RNAcentral.
CCUACGGGGGGCAGCAGUGGGGGAUAUUGCACAAUGGAGGAAACUCUGAUGCAGCAACGCCGCGUGAGGGAAGAAGGUCUUCGGAUUGUAAACCUCUGUCCUCAGGGACGAUAAUGACGGUACCUGAGGAGGAAGCUCCGGCUAACUACGUGCCAGCAGCCGCGGUAAUACGUAGGGAGCAAGCGCUGUCCGGAUUUACUGGGUGUAAAGGGUGCGUAGGCGGCCCUGCAAGUCAGGUGUGAAAGCUAUGAGCUGAACUCAUAGAUUUCACUUGAAACUGUGGGGAUUGAGUGAAGUAGAGGCAAGCGGAAUUCCCGUUGUAGCGGUGAGAUGCGUAGUGAUCGGUAAGAACACCAGUGGCGAAGGCUGCCUGCUGGGCUUUAACUGACGCUGAGGCACGAAAGCGUUAGUAGCAAACAGGAUUAGUUGCCGUUGUAAUG